Molecule: long non-coding RNA, 1054 nt
Organism: Cyprinus carpio carpio
Lineage: Eukaryota; Metazoa; Chordata; Actinopteri; Cypriniformes; Cyprinidae
Source: Ensembl
CCCCUCCCAACCCCGAUUCAGUGUCAUUUCUGUCAUGCAUUUCCUGUGCAAACAAAAUAUGAGGUAGGCCUACAAACGGACAUGAGAGUGGCAUAACGUCAGCCGCAGAUCUAUGAUACCGGAGGAACUGCGUCGUUCCGUCGCAGGGCCGCGGCGAUCCCGUCAUCCAUCAGUGCAUGGAUUUUAACGAAAGAGCGAUGGCCUGACGUCCGGUGUUUACGCCGCUCGUUUCAGCUUUCCACUAACUCUCACCGACUUUAAAUGAAAGCUCAUUUUCACAGACAGCUCAACAUGUCUUUCUGUCAAGAGCCGCAUAUGAGAUUGAACCAGGGGGAUGGACUGGGACUAUAAAACAGCCGGGGACAGAUGCUGGCCGAAUGCUGCUGUUGCAUGCUGUUAUAUAGUUCAUUUACUUCAGCAGGAUAACGUGCUAACAUGCAGCCCUGUUGCUUUUAACACAUGUGGAGCGAAUGGAGGCGACCUGUGGAGGCCACUCGCUGUGAACAGCGGCGUGUGACUGCAAGCAGACAGACUCUGUUGCUGCUGUCAGGUGGAGGGUGAAUAAUGUGCUAACGACUUAAACCAGCGGAGAGCGAGUGUGAGGACGACCGGAGAGCCAGGCGAGAAUGACGUGUUUUGCAGGACCGAGGCAGCAGAAAGAAAGAAAUAAAGAAAGAGAGACGGAAUGACACAAGGAAAGUGAAGAGGAGCUUAACUCAAGUCCUUGUCAGGAGGUCUCGUGUCUCCUUAGAGAGAGGACACUGGGUCACAGGAACCGCGGCUCUGCCAGACGCAGUCAACAGAUGCAAAUCCUCUGAAUAGGCCUCAUUAGCACUUAGCACUUACAACCAGACCAGAUGUCACGCCAAACCUAUUUUCAUACAAAUUCGGCUAAUUAAUUCGUAAAAAAACCUGCUGCUCCUUAAGGGAGAUGUGGGAGAAAUGGCAUCAUGAAUCGUAUUUAAAUUCCCAUUUCCUAGCGGAGAGGAGAGGAGCGCAGCAUUCUGGUUUGUUGGGAUUAAAGAGAGAAGGGGAAAUCACCAUCACAAUGGGG